CUUGUUGCCUCGGCGGAUCAGCCCGCUCCCGGUAAAACGGGACGGCCCGCCAGAGGACCCCUAAACUCUGUUUCUAUAUGUAACUUCUGAGUAAAACCAUAAAUAAAUCAAAACUUUCAACAACGGAUCUCUUGGUUCUGGCAUCGAUGAAGAACGCAGCAAAAUGCGAUAAGUAAUGUGAAUUGCAGAAUUCAGUGAAUCAUCGAAUCUUUGAACGCACAUUGCGCCCGCCAGUAUUCUGGCGGGCAUGCCUGUUCGAGCGUCAUUUCAACCCUCAAGCACAGCUUGGUGUUGGGACUCGCGUUAAUUCGCGUUCCCCAAAUUGAUUGGCGGUCACGUCGAGCUUCCAUAGCGUAGUAGUAAAACCCUCGUUACUGGUAAUCGUCGCGGCCACGCCGUUAAACCCCAACUUCUGAAUGUUGACCUCGGAUCAGGUAGGAAUACCCGCUGAACUUAAGCAUAUCAA
This 466-nucleotide ribosomal RNA is filed under the name Fusarium sp. CJL-2014. RNAcentral describes it as "eukaryotic LSU rRNA". The stretch from base 112 to 265 matches the Rfam family "5.8S ribosomal RNA". The record is from RNAcentral. Lineage: Eukaryota; Fungi; Ascomycota; Sordariomycetes; Hypocreales; Nectriaceae.